Molecule: ribosomal RNA, 388 nt
Filed under: uncultured Myxococcales bacterium
Lineage: Bacteria; Pseudomonadati; Myxococcota; Myxococcia; Myxococcales
Description: bacterial SSU rRNA
Rfam family: Bacterial small subunit ribosomal RNA
Source: RNAcentral
AGUUGCUAAUACCGCAUAAGUCAGCGGCGCCUACGGGCGCUGUUGGGAAAGACGGCCUCUCCUUGGAAGCUGUCACCGGAAGAUGAGCCCGCGUCCCAUCAGCUAGUUGGUGAGGUAAUGGCUCACCAAGGCAAAGACGGGUAGCUGGUCUGAGAGGAUGAUCAGCCACACUGGGACUGCGACACGGCCCAGACUCCUACGGGAGGCAGCAGUGGGGAAUAUUGGGCAAUGGGCGAAAGCCUGACCCAGCCACGCCGCGUGAGUGAUGAAGGCCUUCGGGUCGUAAAGCUCUGUGGGGAGGGACGAACAAGCCUGGGGCUAAUCACCCGGGCCCUGACGGUACCUCCUUAGCAAGCACCGGCUAACCCUGUGCCAGCAGCCGCGGUAA